GAAAAGUUCAAGUACCAGGCUCAAUGGUCCGUGUGGUCACUUUGUUGAAUCGAAUUAACAUAUUUGGUGAAGUCAAUAAAUGCAGAUUUAAACAUGACACAAAAUGGAGGUGUACUAUAAUCACUGGGAUUAAAAUUGGUGAUUGACAUAUAAAUUUACAUAAAUUAACAAGUAAAAAUACCGAUGUUCAAGUGAUGAUAUGGAAGAUGAUGGCCGCCGCUGAAAGUUGUACGCUUAUUACAUUCGUGUUCGUAUAGCUUUGACUUUCUUUCAAUUUAGGGUUGCAGCUGUCUUCUCCCCAUUUUAAAAUACCAAAGGAUAAUGGCGGUGGUUACUUUCACUGUGCCUGGAGCGCAUACGAUCGGCAAUGAAGUUCGAAUCAUCCUACAAAACAUGCGAAAUCAUCGUUCAUCAUAAUUUUAGAGCUUCGUCGCUAUACUCUCGAAGAAAGAAGAGGGACACAUUCUUACACCACACUUCUUUUAUCGGUUUUAAAUCAUUUCAAAAUACUGCAUAAGAUUUCUACUUUGUAACUUGGUCAAUUAAAACUGACAUAACGAUUAUGAAACGGACGAUAACCAAUAAGUAGAAAGUACUUAAUGUCGGUUCUACUGUCAACAAAAGUAGAGAGGUCAUCUUUGAGACCAACAAACAGAAUUCAGGGGAUAAUACUACGGAAUAGAUUUCACUUUUUUUAUUGCUAUUCCGUAAAAAGGAAACUCAUCUUAGAGUCCCUUUUACUGCCUCUUAUACAUUUAUGGAUAGUUAAUCAUGUAUAUUGGCGGAUGUGGUAGAAUCUCUAGGGAAAAUGGCGGUGUAGGAGAAAGGGAGAAAUAUAAUAAUUUAAAGCGUUAGAAAUUUGGCAAUUUCAGAAUAUGAAUUGGGAAUUUAGGAUUUGUAAUGUCAUGAUGAUAUAAGGGUAUUUGACCCACACUAAACAAAAAUUUUAGUUACAUUAAUGAAGUAUAUUUUUGAACCAAUAAAAUAUGCUAAACAUUUAUGGCCUCACGUGAGUCACUGUGUAUGCUUUUAAUGAAUUCAAGCUGGUUUUCGAGGCGAUUCCUACAUAAUUGUAAAAGAAACCACGGCGACCAUGACACCGAAUGUUUUGCUCAUCGAUUUCUCGAAGAUUUAUUUUCUAAAUCUUAGGAAGAGGUUGUGAAAGAGUUAGUCGUGGAGAAAGAACGAGUAGGCCAAACUGGAAAAUACCAGAGACGCUCGUAAAGUAUCUAAUUAUUUUCUUUAGAUUAGCUCUCCGAGAGAAAGACAUUAAUUACUUCACUAUUAUCAACACGCGAUUUCCAUUUGCUUUACGUAAAUUCCGACUGUUAUCACUCGAUUAAUUCGCCAAUUAGAAUACACAAAUGUAAUGAGAAAUUAAUUAGAGAAGUUAUGCAAGUUCCUAAAUUUCCAAACUUCAUGUGUAACGUAGUAUAUUAGUAAAAUUAGGGUAUAAAAUUCAAUCCGGGUAAAAAUCCUAGUUAAUGUUCUUUCCGUGGUUUUAUCCAUUAUUUUUGUUGUUUUCGAACCGCCUAAAAUUGUAGUUUCACCGUAAAGCAAGGACCCAGCCGGGUUUCCGUGGCACGCAAGCAAAUUUCGCGAGCUCUGAGGGUCAUUAAUAUUUUAUACCGUGUACGACCGAUAAUUUCGUUCUCAUUCCUCGUUCGUGGCAACUCUCACAUUGCAUCUAAUCUUCUCCCGAUGGUUGCGUAAUCUGUGCCAUGUUCUGUGCUCCAGGGCGAUUCAGUUGGGCAAUGAAAUUCUGUCGACGUCACGUGGACCUCCGAAAUUUGACCGCAGGGCUAAAAGACCGCACGUGUUCAACGAGAAAUUUGUAACGUCUACCUGAACCUCCACACGGAAUGAAUUAGAAAUGCAAAACCGAUUGAUUAAUAAUAAGAUAAAGAAGAGAGUCUAUUGAGAUCCCUUUUGAUACAGUGAAGAAUCUAGUUGUCUUCUACAGAUAAGAUUGAUAAAGCUGAUUGGAUUGGAUUGAUGGACAAUUUACAACUUCCACAUUGCAUAGAAUGCUCAGUGAAUCAGUGAUAUCAGUGAAAGCAAACAACUACACAAUCAUACAAAACUUGCUUUUACUCAUGAUUAAAUACCAGCAUUCGUAGGAUCACGUUACUUCCUUCGUUGAACCAACUUCUUAUUGCAUCUUGUUCCUCUUCUUUUAUUUCGAUAUUCUUCUUUCACUUCGGUUGCUUCCUCGAAAGUGUACAGAUUACAUAACUCAUUAAUGUUGAUAGAUCAACAUAUUACGAAUCUGUAAUUUAUUCGUCAUGUUACUUUAAACAAAUAAUCAAUACCUGUCUUUUUACGUACUCAUGUGCAUAAAUGCGAUACGUAUCGAUAUGUUCACACUUCAUAUUUGUUAUGCUGACUGUCAAGAUUAUUAAUAUGCUGACUAGUACGUCGAAGCGAUUGAAACUUUCAUUAGUUAGUAUAUAUUUCUACAAUUUCUAACGAUACAUAUUCAUAUAUGUGUUGAUGCAAAUAGAUUUUAAAUGAACAUUAAUAUUAUUAUAGUUAAUAAAUUUUAUAUUUUGAAACGAUUAAAUUUGUAAUAAGAUAACGUGAUUUAUUAACAUGCAAGAAUUUAAGAAAAAGAGGAAGAAGAAGUAAAAGAAGAUGACUUCAAUGAAACGAAGAAAUUACCUUAGAAGAGCUAUGGACCUCACACGAUCUUCAAGUUCUCCUAUUGAGUAGUGUCGACAGCUCGAAACGUGGGAAAAUAUAGUGAGAAGUGAUCGCAGAACAAUGUUACGAAAAAAGCACACGUUUCAUGUCAGCUGCUGCUAGGCUUCUUUCUAGUCUCCACCCUUGGAGAUCCUAUCAGGACAAAGAAAGA
This 2854-nucleotide unclassified non-coding RNA is filed under the name Megachile rotundata (alfalfa leafcutting bee). RNAcentral's name for it is "one cut domain family member 3-like, transcript variant X1". The record is from RNAcentral. Lineage: Eukaryota; Metazoa; Arthropoda; Insecta; Hymenoptera; Megachilidae.